Molecule: long non-coding RNA, 1282 nt
Organism: Entelurus aequoreus (snake pipefish)
Lineage: Eukaryota; Metazoa; Chordata; Actinopteri; Syngnathiformes; Syngnathidae
Exons: 8
Source: RefSeq, a predicted model, not a curated record
GGUUAUCAUGGCAAAUGGUUACAUGCUAACUUAAUAAUAGUAGUACUGCUAGCUCGCUUUUUAAAGAGUUAAUUAGAUUUGGGACACCUUCUGUACCUUUCUAUUUCAGUGAGCAGAUCCUGACUCAAACGUCCCGGACUGGGUGGAACAGGCAGUGCACGAUCUUCUCGACUGCAGAGGUGGAGAGAUAAGAUGAGUUAAGGGAGGUGUGACAUAAAACUAACUCUCACAAGAUAAGGAAAGCAAAGAUUGUUCUGAUCCAGUUAGUGAGAGGGAAGUGAGAGGAUGUAAGAGGAAGCUGGGAACUCCAAAUGUGACUUUAUACCACAGUUCAGUGAGCAAACCCUGACUCAAACGUCCCGGACUGGGGGGAACAGGCAGUGCAGGAUCUUCUCGACUGCAGAGGAGGAGAGAUAAGAUGAGUUAAGGGAGGUGACAUAAAAAUAACUCUCACAAGGUAAAGAAAGCAAACAUCAGAUUGUUCUGGUCCAGGAAGUGAGAGGAAGCUGGAAACUCCCAAUGUGACUUCAUACCCCAGUGAGCAGAUCCUGACUCCAACGUUUAGGACUGGGGGGAACAGGCAGUGCAGGAUCUUUUCGACUGCAGAGGUGGAGAGAUAAGAUGAGUUAAGGGAGGUGACAUAAAAUAACUCUCACAAGGUAAAGAAAGCAGACAUCAGAUUGUUCUGAUCCAGGAAGUGUGAGGAAGCUGGAAACUCCAAAUGUGACUUUAUACCACAGUGAGCAAAUCCUGCUGCCAUUUUUUAGGACUGGGGGGAACAGGCAGUGCAGGAUCUUCUCGACUGCAGAGGAGGAGAGAUAACAUGAGGAAGUGAGAGGAAGUAAGAGGAAGCUGGAAACUCCAAAUGUGACUUUAUACCACAGUGAGUAGAUCCUGACUCCAACGUUUAGGACUGGGGGGAACAGGCAGUGCACGAUCUUCUCGACUGCAGAGGUGGAGAGAUAAGAUGAGGAAGUGAGAGGAAGUAAGAGGAAGUUGUAAACUCCAAAUGUGACUUCAUACCACAGUUCAGUGAGCAAAUCCUGCUGCCAUUGUUUAGGACUGGGGGGAACAGGCAGUGCAGGAUCUUCUCGACUGCAGAGGAGGAGAGAUAAGAUGAGGUAAGGUGACAUAAUAAUAACUCUCACAAGGUAAAGAAAGCAAACAUCAGAUUGUUCUGAUCCAGGAAGUGAGACAAAGUGAGAGGAAGCUGGAAACUCCAAAUGUGACUUUAUACCAUUUAGAUAAAAAAUAAAAAAAUUAAAAAAAAGCAAUAAGGUUA